AUUGAACGCUGGCGGCAGGCCUAACACAUGCAAGUCGAGCGGAUGAAGGGAGCUUGCCCCUGGAUUCAGCGGCGGACGGGUGAGUAAUGCCUAGGAAUCUGCAUGGUAGUGGGGGGUAACGUCCGGAAACGGGCGCUAAUACCGCAUACGUCCUGAGGGAGAAAGUGGGGGAUCUUCGGACCUCACGCUAUCAGAUGAGCCUAGGUCGGAUUAGCUAGUUGGUGGGGUAAAGGCCUACCAAGGCGACGAUCCGUAACUGGUCUGAGAGGAUGAUCAGUCACACUGGAACUGAGACACGGUCCAGACUCCUACGGGAGGCAGCAGUGGGGAAUAUUGGACAAUGGGCGAAAGCCUGAUCCAGCCAUGCCGCGUGUGUGAAGAAGGUCUUCGGAUUGUAAAGCACUUUAAGUUGGGAGGAAGGGCAGUAAGUUAAUACCUUGCUGUUUUGACGUUACCAACAGAAUAAGCACCGGCUAACUUCGUG
This 484-nucleotide ribosomal RNA is filed under the name uncultured bacterium. RNAcentral's name for it is "partial 16S ribosomal RNA". It matches the Rfam family "Bacterial small subunit ribosomal RNA", at positions 30 to 507 of the family's 1533-position model. The record is from RNAcentral.